UGGUUCUUCUGCGAAGUCCUUGUUGAGGU
RNAcentral lists this non-coding RNA (29 nucleotides) under Rattus norvegicus (Norway rat). The record is from RNAcentral. Lineage: Eukaryota; Metazoa; Chordata; Mammalia; Rodentia; Muridae.